UGCAACGGCCAUACCACGCUGAUACACCAGAUCCCGUCCGAUCUCUGAAGUUCAGCAGCGUCGGGCGCGGGGUUAGUACUUGGAUGGGUGACCGCUUGGGAACACCGCGUGCCGUUGUAU
Molecule: ribosomal RNA, 120 nt
Organism: Cylas formicarius (sweet potato weevil)
Lineage: Eukaryota; Metazoa; Arthropoda; Insecta; Coleoptera; Brentidae
Source: RefSeq, a predicted model, not a curated record